Molecule: ribosomal RNA, 483 nt
Filed under: Triticum aestivum (bread wheat)
Lineage: Eukaryota; Viridiplantae; Streptophyta; Magnoliopsida; Poales; Poaceae
Description: partial small subunit ribosomal RNA
Source: RNAcentral
AUGCUUAUACAUGUUACUAUUGAGAAAGUGAAAGGGUUGAUUACUUUUUUCAAGGGGUAUAGAGAAAGUGGCUUUUUAGAAGCAUUGGAGAUAGCCAAAAAAUUGCACUUGAUAUGGAUAUCGGUACAAAAAAGACGAGAUAUGAAAAGAAAGAGAUAUUUUGAUGAGAACCCAGAUGACACAAAUGUUGCAAGACAGUCCGCAGAGAAAUAAUUUAGAAUCGAUUAUUUUACAACUAUUGUUGAUCAAGCAAUUAUGUCACUUGCAAGCAGAUUUGAACAAUAUGAGGGUUACCAGAAAUAUUUUGGUUUCUUAUUUACUUCCAAAUCAUUGCGAUCAUUGGAUAAUGAGAGUUUGAAAUCUUCUUGUGAUAAUCUUGAGGAUGCCCUUAAAAAAGAUGGCAAAUCUGACAUUGAUGCCAAUGAACUGUACGUGGAGUUGAGGUACUUACAUAUUUCGUUCCAAAGGAUGAUAUGGUGCUAG